GACCUCGGAUCAGGUAGGGAUACCCGCUGAACUUAAGCAUAUCAAUAAGCGGAGGAAAAGAAACCAACAGGGAUUGCCCUAGUAACGGCGAGUGAAGCGGCAACAGCUCAAAUUUGAAAUCUGGCUCUUUUAGAGUCCGAGUUGUAAUUUGCAGAGGGCGCUUUGGCUUUGGCAGCGGUCCAAGUUCCUUGGAACAGGACGUCACAGAGGGUGAGAAUCCCGUACGUGGUCGCUGGCUAUUGCCGUGUAAAGCCCCUUCGACGAGUCGAGUUGUUUGGGAAUGCAGCUCUAAAUGGGAGGUACAUUUCUUCUAAAGCUAAAUAUUGGCCAGAGACCGAUAGCGCACAAGUAUAGUGAUCGAAAGAUGAAAAGCACUUUGGAAAGAGAGUCAAACAGCACGUGAAAUUGUUGAAAGGGAAGCGCUUGCAACCAGACUUGCUUACUGUUGCUCAUCCGGGUUUCUACCCGGUGCACUCUUCUGUAGGCAGGCCAGCAUCAUUUU
Molecule: ribosomal RNA, 502 nt
Filed under: Alternaria destruens
Lineage: Eukaryota; Fungi; Ascomycota; Dothideomycetes; Pleosporales; Pleosporaceae
Description: partial large subunit ribosomal RNA
Rfam family: Eukaryotic large subunit ribosomal RNA
Source: RNAcentral